AGACGUCUACAUUAGACACCCGGGUAGUCCCAGCCGUAAACUAUGCGCGUUAGGUGUAUCGGUGACCACGAGUUUACCGAGGUUGCCCGAAGGGAAACCGUGAAACGUGCCGCCUGGGAAGUACGGUCGCAAGGCUGAAACUUAAAGGAAUUGGCGGGGAGCACCACAACGGGUGGAGCCUGCGGUUUAAUUGGACUCAACGCCGGGAAGCUCACCGGAUAAGACAGCGGAAUGAUUGCCGGGCUGAAGACUCUGCAUGACUAGCUG
Molecule: ribosomal RNA, 267 nt
Filed under: uncultured archaeon
Lineage: Archaea
Description: partial 16S ribosomal RNA
Rfam family: Archaeal small subunit ribosomal RNA
Source: RNAcentral